This 478-nucleotide ribosomal RNA is filed under the name uncultured bacterium. RNAcentral's name for it is "partial 16S ribosomal RNA". It matches the Rfam family "Bacterial small subunit ribosomal RNA", at positions 28 to 507 of the family's 1533-position model. The record is from RNAcentral.
GAUGAACGCUGGCGGCGUGCUUAACACAUGCAAGUCGAACGGGAAACCUUUUAUUGAAGCUUCGGCAGAUUUAGCUGGUUUCUAGUGGCGGACGGGUGAGUAACGCGUGGGUAACCUGCCUUAUACAGGGGGAUAACAACCAGAAAUGGUUGCUAAUACCGCAUAAGCGCACAGGACCGCAUGGUCCGGUGUGAAAAACUCCGGUGGUAUAAGAUGGACCCGCGUUGGAUUAGCUAGUUGGCAGGGUAACGGCCUACCAAGGCGACGAUCCAUAGCCGGCCUGAGAGGGUGAACGGCCACAUUGGGACUGAGACACGGCCCAGACUCCUACGGGAGGCAGCAGUGGGGAAUAUUGCACAAUGGGGGAAACCCUGAUGCAGCGACGCCGCGUGAAGGAAGAAGUAUCUCGGUAUGUAAACUUCUAUCAGCAGGGGAGAUAGUGACGGUACCUGACUAAGAAGCCCCGGCUAACUACGUG